CCUACGGGCGGCAGCAGUCGAGAAUCAUUCACAAUGGGGGAAACCCUGAUGGUGCGACGCCGCGUGGGGGAAUGAAGGUCUUCGGAUUGUAAACCCCUGUCAUGUAGGAGCAACUUAAAAAGAUAGUACCACAAGAGGAAGAGACGGCUAACUCUGUGCCAGCAGCCGCGGUAAUACAGAGGGCUCAAGCGUUGUUCGGAAUCACUGGGCGUAAAGCGUGCGUAGGCUGUUUCGUAAGUCGUGUGUGAAAGGCGCGGGCCCAACCCGCGGACGGCACAUGAUACUGCGAGACUAGAGUAAUGGAGGGGGAACCGGAAUUCUCGGUGUAGCAGUGAAAUGCGUAGAUAUCGGGAGGAACACUCGUGGCGAAGGCGGGUUCCUGGACAUUAACUGACGCUGAGGCACGAAGGCCAGGGGAGCGAAAGGGAUUAGAUACCCGAGUAGUC
RNAcentral lists this ribosomal RNA (446 nucleotides) under uncultured bacterium. RNAcentral describes it as "partial 16S ribosomal RNA". It matches the Rfam family "Bacterial small subunit ribosomal RNA", at positions 338 to 795 of the family's 1533-position model. The record is from RNAcentral.